RNAcentral lists this ribosomal RNA (253 nucleotides) under uncultured bacterium. RNAcentral describes it as "partial 16S ribosomal RNA". It matches the Rfam family "Bacterial small subunit ribosomal RNA", at positions 524 to 776 of the family's 1533-position model. The record is from RNAcentral.
UACGGAGGGUGCAAGCGUUGCUCGGAAUCAUUGGGCGUAAAGCGUGCGCAGGCGGUUCGCCAAGUCCGGUGUGAAAUCCCCGGGCUUAACCUGGGAAUUGCGCUUGAAACUAGCGGGCUUGAGUGUGGCAGAGGGGGGUGGAAUUCCACGUGUAGCAGUGAAAUGCGUAGAGAUGUGGAGGAAUACCGAUGGCGAAGGCAGCCUCCUGGGCCAACACUGACGCUCAUGCACGAAAGCGUGGGGAGCAAACAGG